RNAcentral lists this ribosomal RNA (408 nucleotides) under uncultured bacterium. Its description in RNAcentral is "bacterial SSU rRNA". It matches the Rfam family "Bacterial small subunit ribosomal RNA", at positions 29 to 454 of the family's 1533-position model. The record is from RNAcentral.
AACGAACGCUGGCGGCGCGUCUUAAACAUGCAAGUCGAACGAUCUGUAGCAAUACAGGGAGUGGCGGACGGGUGAGGAACACGUAGGAAUCUACCUUGAAGAGCGGGACAACUUUGGGAAACCGGGGCUAGUACCGCAUAGUACAGAGAUGUUAAAGGGCUAGCAAUAGUCGCUUCGAGAUGGGCCUGCGGUCUAUCAGCUUGUUGGUGAGGUAAUGGCUCACCAAGGCUACGACGGAUAGCCGGUCUGAGAGGAUGAUCGGCCACACUGGCACUGAGACACGGGCCAGACUCCUACGGAGGCAGCAGUUAAGAAUCUUGCGCAAUGGGGGAAACCCUGACGCAGCGACGCCGCGUGAAGGAUGAAGGCUUUCGGGUUGUAAACUUCGGUAGACUGGGAAGAAGAAAU